RNA transcript from Coffea arabica (coffee), 1310 nucleotides. It is a transcript of the gene named probable ribosome-binding factor A, chloroplastic, with no coding region annotated. The record is from RefSeq and is a predicted model, not a curated record. NCBI's taxonomy places the organism in Eukaryota, Viridiplantae, Streptophyta, Magnoliopsida, Gentianales, Rubiaceae.
AAAGUUCACCAAUUUACGAAAAUACCCUCUCCGAAGAGACGGAUGUUCUGAUCUGUUCCCUCCGUUCUUCGCGACUCCACACUCCUCAUUUUCUGUUUGUAAUAAUUCUCCAGUCGCAAAUUUAAUACUUUAAUUGAAAGAAAAGAAAAAAUCUGUAAUGCAGCAUCUGCUGAUUCAGAAACCUCCAACAAUCACCACAUGUUCAAUAACAACCGCUUCAAGCGGAAGAUUUACUCCGUCGAUUUUGCCGCCGAUGUCCACCACCAAACUACCACGGCUGCAGCAGAUAACACCUGUGGGCUGUCGGAGACGUAGGAUAAAGUGUAUGGCAAACCCGAGGAGAUUGAAAAUGGUGGCAAACCAGAUAAGAAGAGAGAUUUCAGACAUGCUAAUCACUGACAAGGUUUUGCAGUGUGCCGUCCUACCGGAAGCUGCUCUCGGCGCCGAUCGUUAUCUAUCGUCUCUCACUACUGUCAGCGACGUCGAAGUCUCCGCCGACUUGCAGGUUGUAAAAGUUUAUGUAUCUGUAUUUGGUGAUGAAAGAGGAAAGGAAGUAGCACUUACAGGGCUGAAGUCCAAAGCAAAAUAUGUUCGGAGCGAGCUAGGGAGGCGCAUGAAAUUAAGGCUGACUCCUGAGAUUCGCUUUAUUGAGGAUGAGUCUCUAGAACAAGGGAGCAGGGUUAUUGCUAUAUUGGACAGAAUAAAGAAAGAGAAUGAGGAAAAGGAGGCAAAUGGUCAAGGGGAUGAUCAGUACGAGUCAUCUAAUCAAACUGAAGAAGAUGAGGAGUGGGAGGGUGAUGAUGACGAAGGAAUUAUUUAUGUCAAGUAGUUCCUUGGAAUGGGGGGUGUGACUUGUGAGUAGCGAUUUCAGAGUUGAGCAUGCUUGGCUUCUUAAAUGGUUAUUAUUCCAUUGACUCGGUGAAUUAAUCAUUUUCAACAACUCAAAAUUUAGCAACAUUUCAUGGUUUGCAGGACUGGUGUUUUCAUAGUUUGCAUGCAACAAAUUAGUGCGCUGACUUCCUGAAGUUAUAUAACAGAAAGGUGAAGAAUGUUACUUGUGGACAAUAUGCAUCUGGAUGAAAGGACCUGGCCGUAAAACCUUCUUUCCUUGCUCAUCUUUGGUGCAGCAAUAGAAUAAACCGUCUCAUUUUAGAUUAAUAUGUUAUCACUGAGUCGUCAUGCUCUUAAUGUCCCGUUCUGAGGUAGGAGUUCUGUGUAUAAACCUAAGACUAGAUCUAUAAAAAAUGUAUAAACCAUGGAUUAACGCAAGGGAGCAUCUAUAUUGUUACAGAAGAAAGGCCACUGAUCUU